CCUAAUACAUGCAAGUCGAACGAACUCUGGUAUUGAUUGGUGCUUGCAUCAUGAUUUACAUUUGAGUGAGUGGCGAACUGGUGAGUAACACGUGGGAAACCUGCCCAGAAGCGGGGGAUAACACCUGGAAACAGAUGCUAAUACCGCAUAACAACUUGGACCGCAUGGUCCGAGUUUGAAAGAUGGCUUCGGCUAUCACUUUUGGAUGGUCCCGCGGCGUAUUAGCUAGAUGGUGGGGUAACGGCUCACCAUGGCAAUGAUACGUAGCCGACCUGAGAGGGUAAUCGGCCACAUUGGGACUGAGACACGGCCCAAACUCCUACGGGAGGCAGCAGUAGGGAAUCUUCCACAAUGGACGAAAGUCUGAUGGAGCAACGCCGCGUGAGUGAAGAAGGGUUUCGGCUCGUAAAACUCUGUUGUUAAAGAAGAACAUAUCUGAGAGUAACUGUUCAGGUAUUGACGGUAUUUAACCAGAAAGCCACGGCUAACUACGUGCCAGCAGCCGCGGUAAUACGUAGGUGGCAAGCGUUGUCCGGAUUUAUUGGGCGUAAAGCGAGCGCAGGCGGUUUUUUAAGUCUGAUGUGAAAGCCUUCGGCUCAACCGAAGAAGUGCAUCGGAAACUGGGAAACUUGAGUGCAGAAGAGGACAGUGGAACUCCAUGUGUAGCGGUGAAAUGCGUAGAUAUAUGGAAGAACACCAGUGGCGAAGGCGGCUGUCUGGUCUGUAACUGACGCUGAGGCUCGAAAGUAUGGGUAGCAAACAGGAUUAGAUACCCUGGUAGUCCAUACCGUAAACGAUGAAUGCUAAGUGUUGGUAGGGUUUCCGCCCUUCAGUGCUGCAGCUAACGCAUUAAGCAUUCCGCCUGGGGAGUACGGCCGCAAGGCUGAACUCAAAGGAUUUGACCGUGGCCCGCACAAGCGGUGGAGCAUGUGGUUUAAUUCGAAGCUACGCGAAAAACCUUACCAGGCUUGACAUAGCUAUUGUC
Molecule: ribosomal RNA, 985 nt
Filed under: Lactiplantibacillus pentosus
Lineage: Bacteria; Bacillati; Bacillota; Bacilli; Lactobacillales; Lactobacillaceae
Description: bacterial SSU rRNA
Rfam family: Bacterial small subunit ribosomal RNA
Source: RNAcentral